RNAcentral lists this ribosomal RNA (284 nucleotides) under Segatella copri DSM 18205. RNAcentral describes it as "Prevotella copri DSM 18205 partial 16S ribosomal RNA". It matches the Rfam family "Bacterial small subunit ribosomal RNA", at positions 493 to 776 of the family's 1533-position model. Lineage: Bacteria; Pseudomonadati; Bacteroidota; Bacteroidia; Bacteroidales; Prevotellaceae. The record is from RNAcentral.
UCUUUUUUUUGUGUGCCAGCCGCCGCGGUAAUACGGAAGGUCCGGGCGUUAUCCGGAUUUAUUGGGUUUAAAGGGAGCGUAGGCCGGAGAUUAAGCGUGUUGUGAAAUGUAGAUGCUCAACAUCUGCACUGCAGCGCGAACUGGUUUCCUUGAGUACGCACAAAGUGGGCGGAAUUCGUGGUGUAGCGGUGAAAUGCUUAGAUAUCACGAAGAACUCCGAUUGCGAAGGCAGCUCACUGGAGCGCAACUGACGCUGAAGCUCGAAAGUGCGGGUAUCGAACAGG